RNAcentral lists this ribosomal RNA (410 nucleotides) under uncultured bacterium. RNAcentral describes it as "bacterial SSU rRNA". It matches the Rfam family "Bacterial small subunit ribosomal RNA", at positions 402 to 809 of the family's 1533-position model. The record is from RNAcentral.
UGCAGGAAGACUGCCCUCUGGGUUGUAAACUGCUUUUAUCAGGGAAUAAACCCUUCUACGUGUAGGAGGCUGAAUGUACCUGAAGAAUAAGGAUCGGCUAACUCCGUGCCAGCAGCCGCGGUAAUACGGAGGAUCCGAGCGUUAUCCGGAUUUAUUGGGUUUAAAGGGUGCGUAGGCGGCUUUUUAAGUCAGGGGUGAAAGACGGUGGCUCAACCAUCGCAGUGCCUUUGAUACUGAAGAGCUUGAAUGUACUUGAGGUAGGCGGAAUGUGACAAGUAGCGGUGAAAUGCAUAGAUAUGUCACAGAACACCGAUUGCGAAGGCAGCUUACUAAAGUAUGAUUGACGCUGUGGCACGAAAGCGUGGGUAUCAAACAGGAUUAGAUACCCUGGUAGUCCACGCCCUAAACGA